AAAGCGUGCGCAGGCGGUUGUGCAAGUCUGAUGUGAAAGCCCCGGGCUUAACCUGGGAACGGCAUUGGAGACUGCACGACUAGAGUGCGUCAGGAGGGGGUAGAAUUCCACGUGUAGCAGUGAAAUGCGUAGAGAUGUGGAGGAAUACCGAUGGCGAAGGCAGCCCCCUGGGAUGACACUGACGCUCAUGCACGAAAGCGUGGGGAGCAAACAGGAUUAGAUACCCUGGU
This 230-nucleotide ribosomal RNA is filed under the name uncultured bacterium. RNAcentral describes it as "partial 16S ribosomal RNA". It matches the Rfam family "Bacterial small subunit ribosomal RNA", at positions 562 to 791 of the family's 1533-position model. The record is from RNAcentral.